Molecule: ribosomal RNA, 484 nt
Filed under: Schaalia odontolytica
Lineage: Bacteria; Bacillati; Actinomycetota; Actinomycetes; Actinomycetales; Actinomycetaceae
Description: bacterial SSU rRNA
Rfam family: Bacterial small subunit ribosomal RNA
Source: RNAcentral
CGGCGUGCUUAACACAUGCAAGUCGAACGCUGAAGCCUGGCUUUUGUUGGGUGGAUGAGUGGCGAACGGGUGAGUAACACGUGAGUAACCUGCCCCCUUCUUUGGGAUAACGCCCGGAAACGGGUGCUAAUACUGGAUAUUCACUGGCCUUCGCAUGGGGGUUGGUGGAAAGGGUUUUUCUGGUGGGGGAUGGGCUCGCGGCCUAUCAGCUUGUUGGUGGGGUGAUGGCCUACCAAGGCUUUGACGGGUAGCCGGCCUGAGAGGGUGACCGGUCACAUUGGGACUGAGAUACGGCCCAGACUCCUACGGGAGGCAGCAGUGGGGAAUAUUGCACAAUGGGCGCAAGCCUGAUGCAGCGACGCCGCGUGAGGGAUGGAGGCCUUCGGGUUGUGAACCUCUUUCGCUCAUGGUCAAGCCGCAACAAUGGUUGUGGUGAGGGUAGUGGGUAAAGAAGCGCCGGCUAACUACGUGCCAGCAGCCGCGG